Molecule: ribosomal RNA, 271 nt
Filed under: uncultured prokaryote
Description: partial 16S ribosomal RNA
Rfam family: Bacterial small subunit ribosomal RNA
Source: RNAcentral
UACAGAGGGCGCGAGCGUUGUCCGGAAUCACUGGGCGUAAAGGGCGCGUAGGUGGCGGCGUAAGGCCGCGGUGAAAGUUCGGGGCUCAACCCUGAAUCGGCCGCGGCGACUGCGUCGCUUGGGCACUGUAGAGGCAGAUGGAAUUCCGGGUGUAGCGGUGGAAUGCGUAGAGAUCCGGAAGAACACCGGUGGCGAAGGCGGUCUGCUGGGCAGUGGAGUUGCAAGACUCCGUAGCCGACACUGAGGCGCGACAGCGUGGGGAGCAAACAGG